This 73-nucleotide transfer RNA is filed under the name Treponema bryantii. RNAcentral describes it as "tRNA-Met". It matches the Rfam family "tRNA". From Rfam's summary of the family: Transfer RNA (tRNA) molecules are approximately 80 nucleotides in length. Their secondary structure includes four short double-helical elements and three loops (D, anti-codon, and T loops). RNAcentral also lists the same sequence under 3 other names. Lineage: Bacteria; Pseudomonadati; Spirochaetota; Spirochaetia; Treponematales; Treponemataceae. The record is from RNAcentral.
GGGCCAUUAGCUCAGUGGUUAGAGCAGAGGACUCAUAAUCCUUUGGUCCUAAGUUCAAGUCUUAGAUGGCCCA